Molecule: ribosomal RNA, 505 nt
Filed under: uncultured bacterium
Lineage: Bacteria
Description: partial 16S ribosomal RNA
Rfam family: Bacterial small subunit ribosomal RNA
Source: RNAcentral
GACGAACGCUGGCGGCGUGCCUAAUACAUGCAAGUAGAACGCACAGUUUAUACCGUAGCUUGCUACACCAUAGACUGUGAGUUGCGAACGGGUGAGUAACGCGUAGGUAACCUGCCUGGUAGCGGGGGAUAACUAUUGGAAACGAUAGCUAAUACCGCAUAAUAUUUAUUAUUGCAUGAUAAUUAAUUGAAAGGUGCAAUUGCACCACUACCAGAUGGACCUGCGUUGUAUUAGCUAGUAGGUGAGGUAACGGCUCACCUAGGCGACGAUACAUAGCCGACCUGCGAGGGUGAUCGGCCACACUGGGACGGAGACACGCCCCAGACUCAUACGGAAGGCAGCAGUAGGGAUUCUUCGGCAAUGGACGAAAGUCUGACCGAGAAACGCGGAGUGAGUGAAGAAGGUUUUCGGAUCGUAAAGCUCUGUUGUAAGAGAAGAACGGGUGUGAGAGUGGAAAGUUCACACUGUGACGGUAUCUGACCAGAAAGGGACGGCUAACUACGUG